GACGAACGCUGGCGGCGUGCCUAACACAUGCAAGUCGAGCGAUGAAACCCUUCGGGGUGGAUUAGCGGCGGACGGGUGAGUAACACGUGGGUAACCUGCCUCAAAGAGGGGGAUAGCCUCCCGAAAGGGAGAUUAAUACCGCAUAACAUUAUUUCUUCGCAUGAAGAGAUAAUCAAAGGAGUAAUCCGCUUUGAGAUGGACCCGCGGCGCAUUAGCUAGUUGGUGAGGUAAUGGCUCACCAAGGCGACGAUGCGUAGCCGACCUGAGAGGGUGAUCGGCCACAUUGGAACUGAGAUACGGUCCAGACUCCUACGGGAGGCAGCAGUGGGGAAUAUUGCGCAAUGGGGGAAACCCUGACGCAGCAACGCCGCGUGGGUGAAGAAGGCCUUCGGGUUGUAAAGCUCUGUCUUCUGGGACGAUAAUGACGGUACCAGAGGAGGAAGCCACGGCUAACUACGUGCCAGCCGCCGCGGUAA
RNAcentral lists this ribosomal RNA (476 nucleotides) under uncultured bacterium. Its description in RNAcentral is "partial 16S ribosomal RNA". It matches the Rfam family "Bacterial small subunit ribosomal RNA", at positions 28 to 523 of the family's 1533-position model. The record is from RNAcentral.